Molecule: long non-coding RNA, 1308 nt
Organism: Pecten maximus
Lineage: Eukaryota; Metazoa; Mollusca; Bivalvia; Pectinida; Pectinidae
Exons: 4
Source: RefSeq, a predicted model, not a curated record
UUAUAUAUAUUCUAGAAUGUUACAUCAUUAUCAACUAGAUGAGUAUUUCUAUAAUUUAGAGAAAGAAAUAUAUCAAUAACGGCAUACGAGACGAUACAUUGUAAUUUGUAUCAUACUAACGUCAGUGUACCCAAAUUGAUACCAAUUUCCAAUACUUACCCUAAUAAUUCAUUUGUCGCUAAUCGAUAUUCAAAUAUUAGCUUUAUUUUAACUAAGAGUGAGUACGAACUUCAUCUCCGUGUGUUGGUUUGGUUAUUACAACGCGUGUGUUUAUUAAUAGAACGCUAGGUAGUAGGUGUUGUCACUUCCGGUUUAGAACAAGGUGCGUGUACCCAAAUUGAUACCCUGCAAGGAAAGCGGCUAUAAUGCCAUGAAAAUCAACAUUUUUGCAGUAAAUUGUGAUUGCACUGCAUAAUUUGAAGGUAAGUAUACUUUUGGUACUAUUUGAUACUAUAUACACACUGGUUUUACUGUAAACAUUCCAAAUGAAGUUACGUGUUAUUAACCAUGUGUAAGGCAAAGUCUGUAGUACUAGUAGUAAAGCAACGAUUUUCUCAUUGCAGUUUUCAAGAAGACAUUUUGCAGAUAUUCUCUCAAAACAACAUUAAACUUAAAUAAAUCAGAUUGAAGAAACAUGGUUUAAUUAUUCCAAUGGUGAUGUAAUAAACAGAUCUUACAGGAUAGAAGAUUUUUGGGCAUAUAUCUACAAACUGAUGUUAUGUUAUUUAACUACUAAGUUUAACUGUCAUUUUAUUUUUAUCGGUUUUUAAUAAUUUCAAAUUUACUGAUUUCAUAUAUAUACUUUUGUCAUUUUUCUUUUCUUUUUGCAGUCCUUCUCCUUCAGUUGGUUGACUAUUUCAUCCCCCAUUAAGAUAAAGCAGUACAAAAAUUGAGUUCCAAUUAUGGGAAGGAAAAUGUCCGCAAGCUCAGAUGGUAUAAGGCCUUUGGUAACAAGUGGAUGGCCUCUGAUCAUGACAAAUUGACCGCAUAUUUCACAAAGAGUGUCAUCGUGGUUGCUACAUGGGGAGCUUGGUUGAUUGUCUCCCCCUGGACCAGGUUGAGUGGACAAAAAUGGACAACAUCUAGUGGUUGGAGUAAGUGUGAUGUAUGAGGAGGGAGACAGUACAACUCCACCUGGUUUGCUCUAGCAGUUUCUAUAAAGUCAAUGGACAGAUCCUGUCUUGAGCUGAUACUCCUUUCUUGAACCCAGUUUCAUCAACGUUAUAAAUAAGAGGUGGUUUAUUUUACAAAAUCUGAAUUGAUUAAAAGGUAACUUCACAUUUCAAAACACUUCAGAAUGAAGAUAGC